AAGUCGUAACAAGGUUUCCGUAGGUGAACCUGCGGAAGGAUCAUUACAGAGAACAUGCCCUUUAGGGUAUAUCUCCCACCCUUUGUCUAUAAUAUCUUUGUUGCCUUGGCAGGCCUGUUUUACAACUACUGGCCUUGGCUAGUUAGUGCCUGCCAGAGGACCCAUUAAUUCUUUAUAUUGCUGUCUGAGUAUGAUAUAAUAUUUAAAACUUUCAACAACGGAUCUCUUGGUUCUG
Molecule: unclassified non-coding RNA, 235 nt
Filed under: Helotiales sp.
Lineage: Eukaryota; Fungi; Ascomycota; Leotiomycetes; Helotiales
Description: partial contains small subunit ribosomal RNA, internal transcribed spacer 1, and 5.8S ribosomal RNA
Rfam family: Eukaryotic small subunit ribosomal RNA (bases 1-46)
Source: RNAcentral